Molecule: ribosomal RNA, 253 nt
Filed under: uncultured bacterium
Lineage: Bacteria
Description: partial 16S ribosomal RNA
Rfam family: Bacterial small subunit ribosomal RNA
Source: RNAcentral
UACAGAGGUCCCAAGCGUUGUUCGGAUUCACUGGGCGUAAAGGGUGCGUAGGCGGUCGGGUAAGUCUGAUGUGAAAUCUCACAGCUUAACUGUGAAACUGCAUUGGAUACUAUCCGGCUAGAGGAAUGGAGGGGAGACUGGAAUACUUGGUGUAGCAGUGAAAUGCGUAGAGAUCGUGAGGAAGACCAACGGCGAAGGCAGCUCUCUGGACAAUUCCUGACGCUCAGGCACGAAGGCCAGGGGAGCAAACGGG